CAGAAACAGAAGGUGCUGGGAGGAGGUCACCCACUCAAUCUCGGCAGCAUGUAGCACCAGUCAUAGGAGAGAAUGAAGCCCCAAGAGCAGACGCCUUCCCAGGUCUUCAGCCUAUCUGGUGGUGACAGAAAAGAUGGUAUUCAGAGAGAGGAGGCGCGGCGCCCAAGGAAGAGAAAGAACCAAUGGGAAAUCACAGCGCGUCCCUGCGACAACCAAUGAGCAGGCAGCAAUGGAAGGACGGGCAUUCCGGAAACCGGAAAUGAGCAUCUCCUGCAUCCUUCGCAACUGAAAUAGACAAGCACAUUGACCUGAACCCCUGUACUAGAUAUCAGGAGCUCCUCAAAGUUCUGCUUCCCCAGACCAAUUCCUUCACGGCAAGUUUAGAAGCAAUCUUGUCCAACACUUCUCAGAGGUCAGUCCCCAAAACCUUUUCAAGGGG
This is a long non-coding RNA of Trichosurus vulpecula (common brushtail), 439 nucleotides long. RefSeq lists it as uncharacterized. The record is from RefSeq and is a predicted model, not a curated record. Lineage: Eukaryota; Metazoa; Chordata; Mammalia; Diprotodontia; Phalangeridae. The transcript is spliced from 3 exons.